GAACGCUAGCGGCAGGCUUAAUACAUGCAAGUCGAGGGGUAGCAUGAUUGUAGCAAUACAAUUGAUGACGACCGGCAAACGGGUGCGGAACACGUACACAACCUUCCUACAAGUGGGAAUAGCCCAGAGAAUUUGGAUUAAUACCCCGUAACAUAGCGAUGUGGCAUCACAUUGCUUAUUAUAGCUUCGGCGCUUGUUGAUGGGUGUGCGGCUGAUUAGAUAGUUGGCGGGUAACGGCCCACCAAGUCUACGAUCAGUAGCUGAUGUGAGAGCAUGAUCAGCCACACGGGCACUGAGACACGGGCCCGACUCCUACGGGAGGCAGCAGUAAGGAAUAUUGGACAAUGGACGCAAGUCUGAUCCAGCCAUGCCGCGUGAAGGAUUAAGGUCCUCUGGAUUGUAAACUUCUUUUAUAAGGGACGAAAAAAGGUCUUUCUAGAUCGUCUGACGGUACCUUAUGAAUAAGCACCGGCUAACUCCGUG
RNAcentral lists this ribosomal RNA (483 nucleotides) under uncultured bacterium. RNAcentral describes it as "bacterial SSU rRNA". It matches the Rfam family "Bacterial small subunit ribosomal RNA", at positions 31 to 507 of the family's 1533-position model. The record is from RNAcentral.